CGGAGGAUCCAAGCGUUAUCCGGAAUCAUUGGGUUUAAAGGGUCCGUAGGCGGGUUUAUAAGUCAGUGGUGAAAGCCCAUCGCUCAACGAUGGAACGGCCAUUGAUACUGUAGAUCUUGAAUUAUUAGGAAGUAACUAGAAUAUGUAGUGUAGCGGUGAAAUGCUUAGAGAUUACACGGAAUACCAAUUGCGAAGGCAGGUUACUACUAAUGGAUUGACGCUGAUGGACGAAAGCGUGGGUAGCGAACAGGAUUAGAUACCCUGGUAGUCCACGCCGUAAACGAUGGAUACUAGCUGUUCAGAGCAAUCUGAGUGGCUAAGCGAAAGUGAUAAGUAUCCCACCUGGGGAGUACGUUCGCAAGAAUG
This 366-nucleotide ribosomal RNA is filed under the name uncultured organism. RNAcentral's name for it is "bacterial SSU rRNA". It matches the Rfam family "Bacterial small subunit ribosomal RNA", at positions 526 to 896 of the family's 1533-position model. The record is from RNAcentral.